RNAcentral lists this ribosomal RNA (497 nucleotides) under uncultured bacterium. Its description in RNAcentral is "partial 16S ribosomal RNA". It matches the Rfam family "Bacterial small subunit ribosomal RNA", at positions 28 to 507 of the family's 1533-position model. The record is from RNAcentral.
GACGAACGCUGGCGGCGUGCCUAAUACAUGCAAGUAGAACGCUGAAGCGAGGAGCUUGCUCUUCUUGGAUGAGUUGCGAACGGGUGAGUAACGCGUAGGUAACCUGCCUGGUAGCGGGGGAUAACUAUUGGAAACGAUAGCUAAUACCGCAUAACAACAGUUGUUGCAUGACAGCUGUUUAAAAGAUGCAAUUGCAUCACUACCAGAUGGACCUGCGUUGUAUUAGCUAGUUGGUGAGGUAACGGCUCACCAAGGCGACGAUACAUAGCCGACCUGAGAGGGUGAUCGGCCACACUGGGACUGAGACACGGCCCAGACUCCUACGGGAGGCAGCAGUAGGGAAUCUUCGGCAAUGGGGGGAACCCUGACCGAGCAACGCCGCGGGAGGGAAGAAGGGUUUCGGAUCGUAAAGCUCUGUUGUAAGAGAAGAACGGGUGUGAGAGUGGAAAGUUCACACUGUGACGGUAUCUUACCAGAAAGGGACGGCUAACUACGUG